This 253-nucleotide ribosomal RNA is filed under the name uncultured bacterium. RNAcentral's name for it is "partial 16S ribosomal RNA". It matches the Rfam family "Bacterial small subunit ribosomal RNA", at positions 524 to 776 of the family's 1533-position model. The record is from RNAcentral.
UACAGAGGGGGCAAACGUUGUCCGGAAUUAUUGGGCGUAAAGAGCUCGUAGGUGGCCUGUCGCGUCGGCUGUGAAAACUCGGGGCUCAACUCCGAGCUUGCAGUCGAUACGGGCAGGCUAGAGUUCGGCAGGGGAGACUGGAAUUCCUGGUGUAGCGGUGAAAUGCGCAGAUAUCAGGAGGAACACCGGUGGCGAAGGCGGGUCUCUGGGCCGAUACUGACACUGAGGAGCGAAAGCGUGGGGAGCGAACAGG